CCUACGGGAGGCAGCAGUGAGGAAUAUUGGUCAAUGGACGAGAGUCUGAACCAGCCAAGUAGCGUGAAGGAUGACUGCCCUAUGGGUUGUAAACUUCUUUUAUAUGGGAAUAAAACGUUGCACGUGUGGGAUUUUGUAUGUACCAUAUGAAUAAGGAUCGGCUAACUCCGUGCCAGCAGCCGCGGUUAUACGGAGGAUCCGAGCGUGAUUCGGAUAUAUUGGGUUUAAAGGGGGCGUGGGUGGAUUGUUAGGUCAUUUGUGAAAGUUUGCGACUCAACCGUAAAAUUACAGUUGAAACUGGCAGGCUUGAGUACAGUAGAGGUGGGCGGAAUUCGUGGUGUAGCGGUGAAAUUCUUAGAUAUCACGAAGAACUCCGAUAGCGAAGGCAGUUCACUGGACUGCAACUGACACUGAGGCUCGAAAGUGUGGGUAUCAAACAGGAUUAGAUACCCGAGUAGUC
This 460-nucleotide ribosomal RNA is filed under the name uncultured bacterium. RNAcentral describes it as "partial 16S ribosomal RNA". It matches the Rfam family "Bacterial small subunit ribosomal RNA", at positions 338 to 795 of the family's 1533-position model. The record is from RNAcentral.